This 262-nucleotide unclassified non-coding RNA is filed under the name plant metagenome. Its description in RNAcentral is "partial contains small subunit ribosomal RNA, internal transcribed spacer 1, and 5.8S ribosomal RNA". The record is from RNAcentral.
UCUCCGUUGGUGAACCAGCGGAGGGAUCAUUACCGAGUUUACAACUCCCAAACCCCUAUGUGAACGUUGCCACACUGUUGCCUCGGCGGGAAAUUCAUGCCCCGGGCGCGUCGCAGCCCCGGACCAAGGCGCCCGCCGGAGGACCAACCAAAACUCUUUUGUAUGUCCCUCGCGGACUUUUAUAAUUCUGAACCAUCUCGGCGCCCCUAGCGGGCGUUUCGAAAAUGAAUCAAAACUUUCAACAACGGAUCUCUUGGUUCUG